RNAcentral lists this long non-coding RNA (435 nucleotides) under Elaeis guineensis (African oil palm). RNAcentral's name for it is "long non-coding RNA (EGUI_LNC075655)". Lineage: Eukaryota; Viridiplantae; Streptophyta; Magnoliopsida; Arecales; Arecaceae. The record is from RNAcentral.
GUAGCAAGAGAUCAGCAAUAUGUAAAUAUCAAGAAAACCUUAAUGUUUCAACACAAUGAACAUUACAUCCCAUGACAAGAUAUAAGGCUUUCAGAUUUAGUCCGGCAUCUUGAAUUUAUUUGUCAUUCAAAUUCAUGAAUUCAACACAAGCGGCAACAAAUUUGUUUCUGGGGUGAUUCCAACCAAGGCUUUUUACAUUUGAUACCUUGAUAACCUUUAUGGUUUAGUGAACUGAAUUGAGAUAUUUAUUUAUCCCAACAGAAUUAGUACGGCUAAAAGCAACUUGAGUAGACAAGAUAUCCAGACAUAACAACCAAUAUGCAAAAACCAAAAUUUCAAAAUAGUAUGCACUAAAAUAUCUAGAUCAUUUUUUUUUUUUGACAAAAACAAAAAAACUUAUAUGCUAAUAGUUGUUAAAAAUAAAAAAUAUUACCG